UUGAAAGGGAAACGAUUGAAGUCAGUCAUGCUAGUGAAAAAUCAGUUUGACGGGUUUUGAGUUCUUGAGUAGAGGCAGGGUCAAACCGUUUCUCUUUUGGACUUGGGAUUUGUUAGAUGUACUUUUUCUUUAGCAGGUCAACGUCGGUUUCGGGGGUUGUAAAAUACUUGGGGGAAAGUAGCUCUGCUUCGGGAGAGUGUUAUAGACCCUGGGAGAUGCAGCCUGUGGGAUCGAGGAUUGCAGCAAAUGCCUUUUGGCUUGUCGCCUGUUCCUGGGUGUUACCUGUCUUGUGACAACAUUCUUGCCACCGGGGAGUACUAAUGCCUACUGUUUAGAGCGAUCGAAAAUUUCGUUAAGGAUGUUGACGUA
This 369-nucleotide ribosomal RNA is filed under the name uncultured Glomeromycotina. RNAcentral describes it as "LSU rRNA". The record is from RNAcentral. Lineage: Eukaryota; Fungi; Glomeromycota.